AACGAACGCUGGCGGCAGGCCUAACACAUGCAAGUCGAGCGAGGACUUCGGUUCUAGCGGCGGACGGGUGAGUAACGCGUGGGAAUGUGCCCUUCUCUACGGAAUAGCCCUGGGAAACUGGGAGUAAUACCGUAUACGCCCUAUUGGGGAAAGAUUUAUCGGAGAAGGAUCAGCCCGCGUUGGAUUAGGUAGUUGGUGGGGUAAUGGCCUACCAAGCCGACGAUCCAUAGCUGGUUUGAGAGGAUGAUCAGCCACACUGGGACUGAGACACGGCCCAGACCCCCAGGGGAGGAGGGAGUGGGGAAUCUUAGAAAAGGGGGGCAACCCUGAUCGAGCCAUGCCGCGUGAAUGAGGAGGGCCUUAGGGUUGAAAAGCCCUUUCAGCGGGGAAGAUAAGGAGGGAACAAGAAAAAGAAGCCCCGGCAAACCCCGUG
Molecule: ribosomal RNA, 433 nt
Filed under: uncultured bacterium
Lineage: Bacteria
Description: partial 16S ribosomal RNA
Rfam family: Bacterial small subunit ribosomal RNA
Source: RNAcentral